RNAcentral lists this unclassified non-coding RNA (329 nucleotides) under soil metagenome. Its description in RNAcentral is "partial contains 5.8S ribosomal RNA, internal transcribed spacer 2, and large subunit ribosomal RNA". The stretch from base 1 to 120 matches the Rfam family "5.8S ribosomal RNA", at positions 35 to 154 of the family's 154-position model. The record is from RNAcentral.
GUUGAAGAACGCAGCGAAAUGCGAUAAGUAGUGUGAAUUGCAGAAUUCAGUGAAUCAUCGAAUCUUUGAACGCACAUUGCGCCCCUUGGUAUCCCGAGGGGCAUGCCUGUUCGAGCGUCAUUUCACCACUCAAGCCUGGCUUGGUGUUGGGCGACGUCCUCUUUGGGGACGCGCCUCGAAACGCUCGGCGGCGUGGCACCGGCUUUAAGCGUAGCAGAAUCUUUCGCUUUGGAAGUCGGGGCCCCGUCUGCCGGAAGACCUGCUCGCAAGGUUGACCUCGGAUCAGGCAGGGAUACCCGCUGAACUUAAGCAUAUCAAUAAGCGGAGGA